CUACCACACAAGUCGAAUAAGCCGAGAAUCUAUCGCGAACUUUAAAUUGGUACGAAUCAGGUUGAGAUCGCAUACGGGAAUACAUAAACCGAAGUAGUCAUCGCACACCCUAAAAUGACGGUAAACAUAGGUCUUACCCUAAACCCAGCACACUGGUCUUUAACAUCUCAAGGCAUAGUAUUUGACGAUACGAGAUCCUAAAAGUUGUCUCUUCGUAUAUUCCACGUUCAUGAAUCUUCACAAAAUUAAAAAAAUUCGGAUUUCUUCGCCUAAAACGAACAACAAAUACGACGACCUAUCAAAAGAGUUAGGAAUGAGAUUACAACUCAUAUUCUUCCCUCUACAUCUACAAAGAAAAACACAUACUCUUAAUCAUAAAUAUCAUAAGUUCAUUAACAAAAAGGGUGCCCAGCGCAGGGAUUCGAAGUCACAUACAGUCAGUCCUG
This 446-nucleotide long non-coding RNA is filed under the name Brassica napus (rape). RNAcentral describes it as "long non-coding RNA (BNAP_LNC005842)". The record is from RNAcentral. Lineage: Eukaryota; Viridiplantae; Streptophyta; Magnoliopsida; Brassicales; Brassicaceae.